RNAcentral lists this ribosomal RNA (114 nucleotides) under Candidatus Desulfosporosinus infrequens. The record is from RNAcentral. Lineage: Bacteria; Bacillati; Bacillota; Clostridia; Eubacteriales; Desulfitobacteriaceae.
UAAUCGGACUAGCUAAGGGGUUCCAACUGUUCCACUACCGAACACAGUAGUUAAGCCCAUAUACGCUGAAAGUACUUGGCUGGAAGGCCUGGGAGGAUAAGUAGUUGCUGGUUA